Cynoglossus semilaevis (tongue sole) is the source of this 4918-nucleotide long non-coding RNA. RefSeq lists it as uncharacterized. Lineage: Eukaryota; Metazoa; Chordata; Actinopteri; Pleuronectiformes; Cynoglossidae. The record is from RefSeq and is a predicted model, not a curated record. The transcript has 7 exons.
CUCCAAGAGCCUCAAUUCUCUGUUUCUCGUCCUGCAGAAGCACAAAGUGGGAGUGGCAUUAUUCACCGUCUAUAACCAUAACGGUCACAUGGUUGUAACAUUCCACAGCCUGACCUCUCCUGACCAGGAUGACCUGGGAGUCUCCCAGCCAGGCUACGUGCAACGUCUGGCCCCGCAGGAACGUCACUACGCCUGUUGUGCCACAUCGCAGGUUCUGCAAAAUACGCGGUCACCUCUCUGGAUGCUUUCUUGACAAAGCGCUCAUCAGUCUGUUUGAAGGCUCUGCACAGAGCGUCGCCUACAUCGUGGCUGUAUGUUUCCUGAUGAACCAGGUUAACGUGGAGGUGAUUGGAAGCAUAGAUGGCAGCAUCCACGCCACCAUGGCCAUCGAAUACUGCAAAGAAAGCCUGUUCUUCCUGGUCCUGAGGCAGACAAGUUAGAAUUCCAUCCUGCUGUGAGGGGCAGGAGAAGAUCCAGGAUGACACCUCCACACACCGACUCCCUGACACUCAGGAGCAGCUACAGCCAACGGUAAUAUCUGGAAAGAUCAACCUGACGCAGAACAGCAGUGAUGUAACAAUGUGCACCUCAAACAGUGCUCUACAUCGAGAUGAUUAAGCGCCACUUUGCCGACAGUCCUUAGGAUUUUUGCAGGCGGAUGAAUUGCCCAGAGUCCGGAGUAACUGACACUGACACCUGACAGGUAAUGCAAUAUUUUCUGUUAUGAACCAACAAAACGUAUUUUUUCAUGUUAACCUAAUGUCAUAUCUGUUUGACUUUGUAUUUGAUGCUGAUAUCAUCAUAAAAAAUGUGUUAAUGAAGUUUCUCAGUGCUAUGUAGAGCAGCGCUAUUCAGGAAUAUGUAAAAUAUUUCCAAAAAAUAUUUAAUUUAUUUUUGCAUCUGUCAUUUGUCAUUUGUUCCAGAAAUGCCAACUGAUAUCAUAUCAUCAUAUCAUAUCAGAAAUGGGGGCCAAAAGGGAGCACAGUUCUCCUUAAAUGUAUACCCAAAAUUGUACUAGAAUGCCAUUACACCCCAUGUCUUUGUAUUUAAAAAAUUAACCAAAAAUGACAUAUUGCACUAGGUAAUUUAUGAGAAAUCCUGGAAAAAUAUAAUGUCAACAAUUACUUCCAAAAUGUUUAUUUUUAAUACAGUAUGUGCUAAAAAUUGUCCAAAACAUAAUGAACAAAUCCUAAAAGUAAACAUGUAAAUAAUCUGUGUAGGAAAAUCAUACCUGGGUAUGUGAAAAUAUAGGGAUGUAAAUAAUGUCUGACGAAGUUCAUAAAUAUUAUCCAAAACAUCUGCUGUUCAAAUCUCACUCGUGCAAAACACACAGCUCAUGUAUUUAAAAAAACCUCCCUUUCCGUCCAGCACCCGGUCUGUAUUAAAGAACAGACACUGACAGAGACUCUGCUGAAAACAGUGUGACAGUAGCAGCUAAAUAUUCUUCAAAAGUUUGUCCAGGAAGACAAAAAUAGAGCUCACAUUGAACCUACAAAAGAAAGACGCUGCUCUGUAACUGCAGCUUCUCUGCCUCAUUAAUUUUAUCACUUCAUUUCCAGCUGGAAAAAGAAAAACACGGUUUUAGCUUCAUUGUCACUAAUUUCAGACUCAGGUACGAUCACAGCAUGAAACUGCUCAGGAAAAUGAAAGUGUUCCAGCAGGUCAUUCUCUCAGUCAUUCCUUCAAAAAAGGAGAAUGUAUUUAAAUAUAUCCAUUCAUCGCUAUGGUAAUUGAUUUAAUAAUCCCCAGAGUAUAAAGGGACAUUCAUUUUUUCUUAGUUUAUGGUUUAAAAUACACAUAUAGAGGCCAUUUUUUCCCACAUAAUUAUUGUUACCAUUUACUUUUCAUUACAGCACGAUAAAAAAAUAAUAAUGGUAGCCAGAUCCAGUGUUGCGUAAUAUUGAUGCCCUCAUGUCCCCUAUUUAUUUUCCCUAUCAUCCUAAAAAGAUAAUAAAAUCACUGACUAUAAAACUGGGCAGCCUGCUAUACUUCUCACUCUGGUUUGUAGUGUUGUGGUCUAAAUCACGGACAUCAAACUGCCACAUAUAAACUCUGAGUCUGACUGAGACACACGGCAGCCGUCCUGCUGCAGCUUUGCUGUAUUCACAAUGACUGCUGAACGCCAUUAUUACUCACUGCAAAGACUCCAGGGUUGUUACUAUGACAACUGAUGUAUACAGUGUAAAAAAGUGUCAAACCCCCACCCCCUGUCCCCACCCCCAAACAGACCAAUCCUUGUCAGCUGACAUUUCUACAGAGAACCCACAACGCACAGAGAAAGCAACAGGCCAUGUUAAUGGAGCUUUAAAAGAUACAUUAGAAUGCUGUAUCCGCUGUCAAUGAGAGUUGAUACCUGAGCGCUGUAACUUCAGUUGUAGACGUGGAGUCUGCAUCAUCCACGGCAGACUACAGCUGCUGAAGCGACAAAUAAGUUAGAAACAAAUCUCUAAACCAUAAUGAGUUGACGCCCUCUAAGUUGAUGUGUGUUCAUCCGGACAAUUCUACAGUCAAGUUGACGUGGAAUGUUCCAGUGGUACCGUCAGGAACAACAUGAGCAAGUAUUCUCUCAUGUGACACCGCUAUCAUCAAGACAACAUCUCCAUUUCAAAAACAAAGAUGAUGCAGAAAGACGACGCCAAAGCAGGCUGCAAUAACAGCCGCACUGAUUUGGAUAAUGGACUUUAUCAUACUGGAAAAACACACACACACAUACACUAACACACACUCACACGCAGCAGCAAGGGGUCCAAACAUUUUGAGUUGUAGUCAGAUUCAGUCUGUAAAUGCUCCUACUAAGAUACUUAAGUCUAUAAUUAAUACACACACUCAUUCACUGGAUUCCAGCCAUUUUAUUUAGUUCCUAACUUGAACUUUUGUUCAAAAUGUUCCAGUAGGGUCUGGAAAACUGGUAAAAAAAAUUAUAGUAGCAACAAAUAGCAUUUCAAUGGCUGGUUUGAUGGUUGUGUCAGGCCAUAAAUGUUUCACAUUUAAAUCAGUGACCAAAUUAUUUUUUUUCCGAGAAAUGCGAUCGAGCACAUCAGGCCAUACUCUGGAUAUGACUGCACUCUUUGUUUGCUGUUCAGGGGAACAAUAAUGUAAGUGGGGGGAUUUCUCUGGGGGUUUUUUUUGAAGCAGUGACUGCUCCUGUUCUGUCAUGUCAAUAUUUACUGAUCUGUGAAUCAACACAAAUGAUUGUCCUUUUUGACCUUGUGAGCAGCUGGAAGUGAUGGCACCAGAAAGGUAGAGGUCUAAACCACUCCAUAGUGUGGAGCCAACAAGUGAUUCAUCAAGUGCAGCGAGCCAAAUAAGAAACUAAAUUAGUUUGCCAGAACGCAGAGAUGGAAGGAUACGUUACAGAGCUAAGGUGGUCGAUUGUAUGUUUCCACUGCAGGCAGGACGGCUGGUUUUAGCCACAUCUUUUUAUAUAGAUGAUUCAUCAGAUCUCAACUCUCAAUAAGUGUGAAAAUAAAAAUAUCAAUGUCAGUGGUUCUAAAUUGUUGAUGUGCUAUUUGCAGCAGCAUGACGUCUGAUUGUCCAUUCUAAGAGUUUCAGGCCAAGUAGGUCAACAUCAAUGUUUUUAUGUUAGAACUCUCUCUUGCAGUUUAAUGUACAUUUUUAUUUUUUGAAAAACAACUGUUUCACUUUUUUUCCCUAUUUUUUCAGAACACAAAGCAAAGCAAGACAUUUCCACAGGAAAUUGCGACCCGCCGUUUAAAACAAAAUCAGUAUAACAUCUUUAAUAGCAAAUCUUGCCUGCAAAAUGUGAAAAAUCCUCGCCUCUACCUUACUGCAAAUAUCCAACAGCAGCAGCGUCUACCAUAUUUGACACAACCUGCCACAGACACCUGGUCUCCAUCUCGGCUGGAGUGCAUCCUGACCUUCUUGGCCACACAGUGCUCAUCUUUUUCAGACAUACAGUACAUGCGAGCAAUAGUCCCCUGUCACUUAAUGCCCCAGAUGAGUCCUUCAGCCUCUUCUUCCCAGCACAGUUUCUGCACCUAUUUUUGAUUCAAAACCAGGGCAGGCAGCAGAGCUCAGGGCAGAGCUCUGGCAGCUGUUACAGACUCAUCUCAGUUUUAACUGCAUCUACCCGGUUUGCACAGAUCCCAUCAAAGAUCCUGAAGGAACUGUACAGUGACUGCUAUAUGUAAUUAUAUAUAAUUAAAUAUAUGUCUAUAUAUAUAGACAUGUCUAUUAUGCGUGGUUAAUCACAAAUUAUGUUAUGGGCAUUUUUUUUGUUAAAUCUUUACAUCUUUUUGAUUAUACAUGAAUAAACCCAUAGUUUUUGCUGCAUGUCUGAAGGAAUUUGCGGAACUAAAAUACUUGCAGGAGGCAGCAUCAGAGAUUGCGUUUUUGAGCGUCACGGUCGGUUUCAACGAUCCGGGCUCAGAACGCAGCCGGUGAGGUUAUUUUUAGCCUGCACGAAGAAGCGCUCAGCAGUGAUGGCGAUGGCUCCCACCCCCUCCUACACCAUGGUGACGUCGGGCUGUUACGCAAAAGCAGGGGUUCACCUUUUCGUGCGCCUCCAGUUUUGUCACCCCUGGCGUCUGUUUAUGGCACCAAACAAUUGGUCCACAGGUGUACGGACAGAUACUACGGUGCGAUGCGCUGAACGACGUGCGGUGGAGAAGAAAGAACUGAGGCGCAGUUGGUCUCAGUGUUUUAACUUCUGCCCAAGAUCUCAUAAAACCCCCAAAACGGUGUAGCAGAAACAUUAGUGUAAACUCAAUGGCGAUACACGCUGGUUUAAAGCAGGUGGCGGUCAUUCUGGAGAAAGAUGAGGUGGAACGGACCGUGCCAGGGUCGCAACCUCCACUCACCCAGAUCUCCUUCAGUAAAUAAUGACGCUCAAACCAAAACACCACUGUUGUACUGGUUUUGUACGAAGCAAACAAAUAUAAGCAUACCACGACAGGAA